AUCUGAUAGGAGGCAUGGUGAGAAGAGAGGGCAAAAGGCCCUCCUUUUUCCUCUCUCUUUCUUCUUACAAUCAGUGUUUUGGUUCUAUUAAAAAAAAGAAUAUCUAUAUAUGUAAAUAUUUUAUGUAAUGAAUGGAUGUUUAUGUAUGAAAGACAGAUGAAGAUGAAGAGAUGUGCAAGAAGAGAUGGAUUUGCAUCUGCAUAUAGGUAAAACUUAUAUAAAUAUUUUAUAUAUAUAUAUAUAAAUAGCUUAGAGAGAGAGGCUUUGGCUAUCCUCUUGUUUGAGAAAUUUACAAGAGGAGACCAAGGAAGAUGGUGACUUGCCAGUUCCUAAGUUUGAUUUUUUUUUUUUAAAUAAAAUAAAAUUAUAGCAUUCUCCACCUUUUUUCUCUGUAAACUCUACUUUUCACCUUAGAUUAUUUCCAAAUGCCCCUUUUGUUUUGUAUAUUCUAAUCACCUCCAUUGACUUAGAAUGUUUCAUUUUCAUGGGUUGGGGCCAAAACUUUUGGUUUUUCAUGGAUUAAUG
RNAcentral lists this long non-coding RNA (525 nucleotides) under Vitis vinifera (wine grape). RNAcentral's name for it is "long non-coding RNA (VVIN_LNC007832)". The record is from RNAcentral. Lineage: Eukaryota; Viridiplantae; Streptophyta; Magnoliopsida; Vitales; Vitaceae.